CCAGCUCUCUUUGCCAAAUGGGUUAGAUCAAGAGUAGUAUCUAUUCUUUUCAGUGUAAAAACUGGAACGGUCUUCGUACCGGGACCACUUCUUUUUUAUGUACAUUUUUGCUGGUCCCGAGCCUUGACAACUGGCUUUCUAUAUUCCUGACCCACUGCGUCGCUGGUAUUGCACUGUUUCCAGUUUGGUACGAAGGUUA
RNAcentral lists this small nuclear RNA (199 nucleotides) under Tuber melanosporum Mel28. RNAcentral's name for it is "U2 spliceosomal RNA". It matches the Rfam family "U2 spliceosomal RNA". From Rfam's summary of the family: U2 is a small nuclear RNA (snRNA) component of the spliceosome (involved in pre-mRNA splicing). Complementary binding between U2 snRNA (in an area lying towards the 5' end but 3' to hairpin I) and the branchpoint sequence (BPS) of the intron results the bulging out of an unpaired adenosine, on the BPS, which initiates a nucleophilic attack at the intronic 5' splice site, thus starting the first of two transesterification reactions that mediate splicing. Lineage: Eukaryota; Fungi; Ascomycota; Pezizomycetes; Pezizales; Tuberaceae. The record is from Rfam by way of RNAcentral.